AAGUCGUAACAAGGUUUCCGUAGGUGAACCUGCGGAAGGAUCAUUAACACGAUUUUAUAUCCAUUUAUUAACCACAGUGUCAUGAAGCUUCGGCUUCAGUUUCCUCUCAUUUCAAUUAUGAACCCUUUGAAACUAUUCAGACUCAAACUCCAAAUUCAUUUUGGACCAGCUCUUCGGAGCCAAGCCAAAACGAAUCAAUAAACGAACAAGAAACAACUCUUAGCGACGGAUUUCUUGGCUCCC
This 243-nucleotide unclassified non-coding RNA is filed under the name fungal sp. RNAcentral describes it as "partial internal transcribed spacer region". The stretch from base 1 to 46 matches the Rfam family "Eukaryotic small subunit ribosomal RNA", at positions 1786 to 1831 of the family's 1831-position model. Lineage: Eukaryota; Fungi. The record is from RNAcentral.